UACGUAGGUGGCAAGCGUUGUCCGGAUUUACUGGGUGUAAAGGGCGUGCAGCCGGGCCGACAAGUCAGAUGUGAAAUCCGCGGGCUUAACCCGCGAACUGCAUUUGAAACUAUUGGUCUUGAGUACCGGAGAGGUCAUCGGAAUUCCUUGUGUAGCGGUGAAAUGCGUAGAUAUAAGGAAGAACACCGGUGGCGAAAGCGGCUCUCUGGCCUGUAACUGACACUGAGGCUCGAAAGCGUGGGGAGCAAACAGG
RNAcentral lists this ribosomal RNA (253 nucleotides) under uncultured bacterium. RNAcentral's name for it is "partial 16S ribosomal RNA". It matches the Rfam family "Bacterial small subunit ribosomal RNA", at positions 524 to 776 of the family's 1533-position model. The record is from RNAcentral.